RNAcentral lists this transfer RNA (66 nucleotides) under Dorylomorpha xanthopus. RNAcentral describes it as "tRNA-Pro". The record is from RNAcentral. Lineage: Eukaryota; Metazoa; Arthropoda; Insecta; Diptera; Pipunculidae.
CAAAAGGUAGUUUAAAUAAAAUUUUAAUUUUGGAGAUUAAUGAUAAAGGUAUUUCUUUUCUUUUGA